This 8032-nucleotide long non-coding RNA is filed under the name Marmota monax (woodchuck). The record is from RNAcentral. Lineage: Eukaryota; Metazoa; Chordata; Mammalia; Rodentia; Sciuridae.
CGUGUCUUUAUUUCUUUGGGUCCCAUUUCCUCUUGUGAGUUUGGGGGUGGCUGUUAGGGGGUGGGGGAGGAUGAGUUGUGUGGUGGUCUGGGUGCCAUCAGGGUCUUUGUCAGCUGAAAAUAGUGGGGAUGUUGGGUGCCAGUGGGGCCUGGGCGUGGGUGAUUAGUGGUGAGUGGGAGGGGGGGAGGUCAGUUGGGGGGAGCUGAGGGUUUGGUGCUGCUGCUGCCGGCUGGAGUCAAUGGCUGGAGGGGCAGAGUGAUGGGGAAGGGCAGAGCUUUAUAAGCAAUAGGCUGGCAGGUGACAGAUGGCAUGUUAUGGCCUUCAGUGACCAUCUCUUGAAAUAGGAGUGUCUUUCAUAUGAUUCUCCAAGGGAAGGCGUGUAUGGUAUAUGGGUCUCAGACAGGUGGGCACCUGGGUUGUCAAUGUUAUGAAAAAUAGCGUCGUCUGGAGUGUGUUCCCAGUACCUCUGAUCUGCGGUCCAGCGGGUUGAAAGGAGAGAAAUGAUUGAAGUUUCUGUCUCGUGCGGCGCUGCCUUAGCAUAGCUGUGCCGCCAGGUGGCGCCCGUGCCCCGUCUGAGUGGGUUUUGCUCUUUCCCACUCGGUCCGAGCAGGUGAUUUCCUCCGGGUCCUGUCUCCCUCUGGCGAUCUUGUUUUGCGGGAUAAAAGCCCUGGUCUUGAAUAUAGUUCCCGGAGCGCAGUCCUGCAAAAACGGGAUAUGGCUCUCUGAACACAUCCAUUCAUCCUUCCUUCUUUUCACGAUGUCUAUUAAAUUGGUGAAAAUGGAACUAAAUUUUUUUGAACUAAAUUUUACCCAGUUGCAGUGAAAUAGGCCCAUUUUGUGAUUUUUCUCUUCCCGGGGUGAGGCGGGAGGUGGCGUUGGGGAAUCUGCGGUGUGUGGGGUUGGGCAGCUGUCUUAAUUUCUCUGAGCCCCAUACCCCAUUCUGAAAUGUUCCAGAGGAGGUCAGUCUCCUAGUGGGGAGGACAAACACCUCCCAAAUGCACGAGCCAGUCUGUACAGGGAGGCUCCGGCAGGGGAACUAAGAGCCAAGUUUCUGAGGCCCACAGCCGAGCCACCCGCCAGCUGACCUUGGACAGCUUGCUUAGCCUGCCCCAGUUUCCCCUGCUGUAAAAUGGAGCAAUAAUACACCCACCUGACAGGGUUAUUGUGAGGGCUUCCUUAGUAAAUAUUUGCAAAGUACCUGGUAGAUUUGCUAAAUCUAUUUCGUUUGGCCGCCCUGUGGGCAUUGGGGGUCUUUGUUGGUGGGUGGGGGAGGCCUGGUGUUGGAUGGGGUCCUUUUUCUGGCUUUUGGGCUGUGUCUUUCUCUGUGCCCAACCUUACUUUAGGGGUAAGAGUAGAUCCAGACCCAUUUACAUGUGGUCUGGGGCUGCAUCUGGGCUAACAGCUUGCAGAUCAUCCUUUUCCUUCCAAGAUGGGAGGGGGUCCCAAUGCACCCCAACUCUAGGAGAAAGCAGCAGGCCCCUAGGAAAAGCAGGCCACAGGGGCCAGGCUGCAGAGUCCCCUUCUUCUGGGAGAGUCCUUAGCAGACAGGUCUUCCCCAAACACCAAAGACUGAACUUGGCAGAACUUUAGGGUUCUCUUUCCUUUCCCCCUAUCCUCACCUUCCGCUUUUCUUUCUCUUUUCCUGCAGAGGUUCAUUAAAGUUUUUACAGACUGAAAUCCACCCAGGGUCCGUGUACAAUUCAGAGUUUUGAUACAUUUGCAGAGUUGUACAGUCAUCACCCCAACCCAGUUUAAAAGCUCCUCCACUACUAAGUUCCUCAUCACCAGCUUGCAGUCAAUUCCCUGUCCCAACCUCCCACCCCAGGCCACCGCAAAUCCACUUUCAGUCUCUCCAGAUUUGCUUCCUCUGGAAAUACCAUAUAAAUGAAACCAGACAGUCCUGCUGUGUCUAAAAUAAUUUUGCUUCUAACAUAUGUGAAUCGCAGAACCCAGAGAGUCACUCUGUUCAAGAAUGACUUUUGCAAAGUUUGUUGUGAGGCCUGUGCAAGAAUUGAUUUCAGCAGCCGUGUCGAUAAGGUCUGCAGUGAGAUAAAGAAUAAAUCUCUCUGAAACCAGGCUAAGAAAUAACCGAUAGGGCAGUGAAAAUGAAAGGAUAGAUUCUUCCUGCUACCUAUCUGGCUGAAUCUUUCUCUGAAAGAAGAGAUACUAAGAGAUAUUCAAUGGAUACCACCGUAUGUAUUAUUAAAAGAAUCAGAAGUAGGAAAGAGAACACUGGGGAUUUAUGCAUAGGCAUAAAAAUAAAAUUGAACAGGAAAUGAUCCAAAAUGUGCCAUAGGGUUUCUGCUCUGCACUGGGGGAGGCUGCCGGUAAGGUGCAGCCAUGAAUUGUUUAAUGAUGAACUGCUUCUGGGCCUGGAUACUGGUAUGUGGGUGGUCAUUUUACUGACUUUGAACUGCAUGUGUACAUUUUCCUUCCCUCCUUCCUCCCUAGCUUCUUUUCUUCCUCUUUUUUAUAUUGGGAUUCAACCUAGGGCUGCUCUACUACUGAGCUACAUCCCCGGGCCUUUUUAUUCAUUAUUUUAAGACAGGGUCUUGCUAGGUUUCUGAGGCUGGCCUCCACCUUGCGGUCAUCCUGUCUCAGCCUCCCCAGUUGCUUGGAUUACAGAUGUUCACCACCACGCCGGGCAGUGGGUAGACAUUUUCAAAUGCAUGUGGGUAUCCAUAUUUCCCGAUUAAAAAAAAUUGAAAAAAAAUUGAAUUUUGAGAGAGCUGAAUCUNGCUGGGGGAGGGGUUUAGGUGUGUGUGGGGGUACUGGUGUGUGUGAGAAUUAGAUGAGCAGGGGGUUGGCUCAGGUACAGAUUGGGUGUUCCUAUGUAAGCAGAGAAAACAUCUUAUUAUGCAAAUAGAAAGAAGCAGCAGAGCUGGUGCAUGGCACACGUCUGUGAUCCCAGUGGCUCAGGAGGCCGAAGCAGGAGGAUCGUGAGUUCAAGGCCAGCCUCUGCAACUUAAGAGAAAACCUGUCUCAAAAUAAAAAUAAAAAAUUGCUAGGGGAUGUAGCUCAGCGGUACACCAUCUCUGGAUUCAAUCUCCAGUACCACCAAAAACAAAACAAAGCAACCAAAACAAAAACAAAAAACCCCAAAUCAAAAAACCCUCCAUUCUUGGGGGUGGAGUAUUUGAUAAGUGCACUUUUAUUUAUAGAACAUGGGUUUCUUUAUGGUGUAUUCCUAUGUGCAAAUAACAUACUUUGAUCACAGAGCUGGGACAGGGCACACUCCUGUAAUCCCCAAGAUGGCAGCGGUGGAGACAGGAGAACUGCAAGUUUAAGGCCAGUCUCAGCAAUUUAGCGAGACCCUGUCUCCAAAUAAAAUAAAAUUUAAAAAGGUCUGGGUAUGUAGCUCCGAGGCAGAGCAGGCUUGGAUUUAGUCUCCAGUACCACAGCGCGUGCACACACACACACGUGCACACACGCGUGCACACACACACACAUGCAAUUGAAGGAGGAACACAGUAGAGGCAAAUGGAGUCUGCUGUGGCCAGAACAUGUACCCCAAAGCUCCAGUACUGGAGACUGAAUCCCCAAUGCCGUGGUGUGGAGGGUCGAGACUUUUAAGAGGUGAUCAGGCCUGAGGCUUCCACCUUGGUGACUGGAUUGAUGCAGUCAUCUUGGGGUGGAGUCAUCUAUGAGUGCAUUUUUAUUAACAGAAUAUGGUUUUAAGGUAUAUUCAUACAUGCAAAUAACACACUUGGAUCAUAUCCCCCAGCCUGUGGCGCUAUUGGGAGGAGGUGGAGCCUUUGGGAGGGGCUUUUCACUGGAGAAUUCUGGAAAGAUGUGCCCCUGCAGGUUAACUCACUGAGCUUCCUGCCAGUCUGUCCUCCUGGCAUGUCCAGGACAGCAAGACCCUUGAUGAAGCUGACCCCACCCCCCUUCCAUCUGCAGGGAGCCUCUCAUCUGUGAGUCUUUUUUUUUUUUUUUUAAAUUUUUAUUUAUUUUUAUUGUUUAAUUUUCGGCGGACACAACAUCUUUGUGUGUAUGUGGUGCUGAGGAUCGAACCCGGGCCGCACGCAUACCAGGCGAGCGCGCUACCGCUUGAGCCACAUCCCCAGCCCAUCAUCUGUGAGUCUUGAGAUGCCUCUGGAGCCCUGAAGACUUAGUAAAGGUUUUCCUACACUCCUCACACGCAUAGGGCCUCUCCGCCGAGUGAGUCCUGAUGUGCGAGGUGAGUUUUGAGGACUUGGGGAAGGCUUUCCCACACUCCUGGCAGGCGUAGUUCUUGCUCACAAUGUGCUUUGUCAGGUGCUUAUUGAGGUGCAGGGAGUACCUGAAGGCUUUCCCACACUGCUGGCAUUCGUAGGGCUGCUCGCCUAUGUGAAUGUCCAUGUGUCUCCUGAGAAAGGACUGGUAGACAAAAGCUCGGCCACACUCGCGACACCUGUAGCUUUUCACUCCAGUGUUAGUUCUCUUGUGUGGACCAGAAUGGUGAGCGUGGGCAGAGGUUUUCCCACUUGGUUUCUUAGCUUCUGUCUUCACACAGGAGGAUCCUCCCUGCAAGGUCCAGGCUGGGUUGUGACUGAAGUUGCUUCCACACUGGUUGGAAAUGAGCAUUCUCCCUGCACUGGGAGUCCUGGGUGCCUUGGGGACUGUGUCUCCACUGAAGGCUUUUCCAGACGCAUCCCACAGCUGAGUAUCCACUCCCGUGUCAAUUUUAUCGUGUCCAUGACGCACGUGGUUCUGAUUGUCCAUCCACGGGUGUGAUCUCGGCUCUGUGCAUGUUCUCAUUUGCGGGACCAGCCGCCCGUUCUGCCAACUGACGCCAUCACAGCCAUCAUUUUUAGGUAAUUCUUGAUGACUGUUUAAGAUGGGACAAUAUGUCACGAUAUUCCAGGAACACGGCGGGAUGUAUUUUCUUGUGGACUCUCUCUGCGAAGGCACAAGCCUCAAGCUGUCCCUCACUUGGUGACACCCACAGGAUACAGCUGGAGAUACGCCUUUGCCCUGGGCAGCUGCAGCUUGGGUCGCAUUUUGCUCCCCUGGCUUCUGUGGCUCCUCUGUGCUGUGGCACUUCUGGUCUUCUAACAGGGAAGGCCACCACGUGUUGCCAGUGAGACAGCCGGUGGCUUCACGAAAUGUUCUUGUAGCAAGAACAUCUGGCUGAGAGGUUCGGUCUUUGGUUUUACAUUGAGUCACCCAAUCUGAAAUAAAGUGGCACAAGGGUUACAUUCUUCCUCCCAAGCAAAGGUGGGUGAGAGGAAAAAUGGCGGCACCCAUGUGGAUUUCUUUACACAUGACCAUCCAACAUAUGUGACAAAAAGAUGGGAAAGGGAAGAACCCAAGACUAAGUGAGCUUAGUGCCUUAGAGUGACCCUGUUCGUGGGCUCCAUUUACACCCACUUGUGGACCCCACAAAGGCUUGUUCAUCAUGAAAGGCAUGAAAAUGUCAUGUCAUUGACAGGCUUCCAGGUUCUUGGGGAAAACCAAUGUCCACUACUUGGGGGGCAGAGGCUGUGUGUGUCAUUUAACAACCCCUUUCCCAUCUCUCACAUACCUCUCAGGACAUAGGAGGUACCAAACCAGCACUGGUCCCAUUGUUGACUAAAUACAGGAGGAGCAUCCUCGGCUGUGGAUGCCAUGUUUUCCCACAUCAUGUCCUCGAGGAGAUUCCUCUGAAAAGGGUCCACGUGUCCUUGGUGAAGUUCACAACCACAUCCACGAAGGUCACCAUGUCCUAAAACAACAUUCCCAUUUUGGCUCUGUGGGGUCCUAUUAUAGUUGACUUGUGCCUCUCCACCCAAAUACAUGUUGAUGUCCUAACCCUUGGGACCUUUAAAGGUGAUCUGAUUUGGAAUUCAGGUCUUUGUAGAUGUCAGGAGUUAGGAUGAGGUCAUAAUGGAAUAGGUUGGCCCUGUCCAAUGGCUGGUGUCCUCAUAAGAGGAGGAAAUCUGGACACAGAUGCACAGAAGGGAGGAUACCAUGUGACAAUGACAACAGAAAUUGGAGGGAGGGGUCUAUAAGUCAAGAGUGCCAAGGACUGCAGGCAGCCACCAGAAGCUAGGUGAGCGACUGACCACCAGAGCCUCAGAAGGAACCACCUGCCGCCAUUUCGAUUUUGGAUUUCAACUCCAGAACUGUAAGAGAAUACAUUUCUGCCAUUGGGAGGUGGCCAGUGGGGGGCACUCUGCUGCAGCCACAGGCAGUCUGACCCCCCCAUAGGGAGGGUGGCUCAGGGCCUAGGAACACUCCAUUCACAGAAGGUUCAUUCAAGGUCUGGUUCUCUGCCAUCAGACUCUUCUCCCCUCUGUCCACAUUCACCCCCAAGAUGACCAUAAAAUGGCUUGUGGGGUUGGGCGCGGUAUCACACGCCUGUAAUCCCAGCAGCUCAGGAGGCUGAGGCAGGAGGAUUGUGAGUUCAAAACCAGCUUCAGCACCUUAGUGAGGCCCUAAGCAACCCAAUGAGACCCUGUCUCUGAGUAAAGUACAAAAUAGGGCUGGGAUAUGGCUCAGUGGUUAAGUGCCCUUGGGUUCAAUCUCCAGUACCCCCCACCCCCGGCGGGGGGCCGGGGGAGGGGGGGUGGUUUAUGGCUUCUUGGGCUGUGCUUCUGCCUGUCUGUCUGUCUUCAUUCCCUAAAUUCUUUCAUCCUGACUCACAGCUUUGGGGAUGUGCCAGUCUCCCCUGGUGGACAGUGCUCUCUCAGUGUACUGGGGGCUGUAACCAGACACCACCCACAGGGACAUGUUGGUGACCACAGGGGUCGUCUCACAGUCCUGAAGGCCAGAAGUCCAGGUUCGAGGUGCCGGCAGGCUUGCUUUCUCCUGGGGCCUCUCUCCACGACGAGCAGAGGGCCGUCUUCUGUGUUCUCACAAGGUCUCUCCCCUGUGCUCACACAUCCCAGGUGUGUCCUCAUAAUGGGCCAGGGCCCCACCCUUAUGACCUCAUCUGACUUCCGUGACUUCUUUCAAGGACUGUGUCUCAGUACAGUCACGUUGGGGACUAGGGCCUCACUAUGAAUUUUAGGGUCACACAGUUCAGUAUACAGCACCUGUGUAUUCCCUGUGAUUUCCGGAUCCACCUCAGUCUUGGGGACUACCUUUGCUGGAGAGCCAGGCUUGAUUUGGAAAUGAGUAGCACCACAGUGAGACCUUGGGUUCCUCAGACAACGCUCUGUGACCUCAUUUGACCCCCAGGCCCUGAUGAGGAGUGGAAAGGAUCUGUCACUGCAGCAGGGGGACCCGGCAGAAUCCCCUGUGCAUAGUCUCUUUAACCAGAGGUGCAGACCUCGGAGGGCACAUCUGAGGACAGGCCCUGCCUGGCCCCAUCUGCUCUGGCCACCCCAGUCUUAGGCAGAUCCACCCUCAGUCGCUGGGAACCACUGUGCCCUUUGGUGGGGGGGUCCACUGCAGACUUUUCCUAGACAAAGUGUCACCAAUAGAGCAGCCAGUCUGAGCUUUUCUGUGUCCCUUGAAGGAGGUCGACAAGGAGAGCUUAGGGGGAAGAAAAGGGCCAUGAAGAUCUGUUGAGAGCCACAGCCAAAGGGGCCCCAGCAAACUUCCAGCUGCCAGCAAACUUCCAGCUGCUGGCUGAUGAUUGGCUCACAGCGGCCCCAGCAACAUCUAGCUGAUUGGCUCCUCUGCGGUGAUGCUCAUUGGGCUGUUUCCCUGCCCUUUCAGACCACGGAGCUGCUCAUUGGGGGACUUUUUUGGCUCCGCCCACGUGACCCAGCCAAUCGGCCUCAAGAGCAGGAGGAUUGUGGGAGGUGGAGAGAAGCUUGUGUGGGAGAGAGAGGCUUGUGGAAAGCCGGUGGUGGCAGUUGAGGCUCUGAGGGUUUUUCCUGAGAGACUAUUUUGUUUGUCGUGUGUGGUUCUAAAAAUAAAGUUAGUUUCUUUUGACAAGUGGCUCCUGAUUGUGCCCAGCCAGACUGCGGCAUUGCGAAGAUCCAGGCUCACUGCACCUCCUAAACACUAAUCUGAGCAAGCAUGUGCUCGCGGGAAUGUUCCUGCCUUGCGCGCCCCCCCACAUUUAGUUCUGUUUACUUUUGUUUUUGGUACCUGGGAUUGAACCCAAGGUCACUUAACC